AUCCUUUUGUAGUUCAUAAGUGUGAUGCUUGAGUCUUCCCACUCAUGUGUGAGAUGUACCUCACUCAAACGUUGGCACAUUACCAAUCCGAUG
Small nucleolar RNA from Macaca fascicularis (crab-eating macaque), 93 nucleotides. NCBI's taxonomy places the organism in Eukaryota, Metazoa, Chordata, Mammalia, Primates, Cercopithecidae. The record is from Ensembl.